GCCAGAUCCUUGACCCACUGAGCGAGGCCAGGGACUGAACCCACAUCCUCAUGGAUACUAGUCAGGCUCUAGAUACUAGAUAAUAGAUUCUAGAUACUAGAUACUAGUACACUGAACCACAGUGGGAACACCGAGGUUCCUUUCUUGUGUAAAAUGAGCAGAUACACUUUCUCUUAUAAACUGAGGGUAUCUUGUCAUGUUUUCCAGGCCGUGAUAACUGUAGAUGAGCGGUGGACGCAUCCAUGGCCCAACAAGAGCAAGACGGUGAAGGGCUCAAAGCCUGUGGGUUCCUGCAUGAUUCCAGUUCAGCAGCUCAGAGUAACGGUAAGAACUCCCUCCUACCAAACGGUUUUCUAAACGAAGUCUUAUAACCAGUGCCCUUAGAGACGUGACUAUGCAGCGUAACCCUGGUCAUUCCCCC
RNAcentral lists this long non-coding RNA (421 nucleotides) under Sus scrofa (pig). RNAcentral's name for it is "lncRNA (ENSSSCG00070017700.1)". The record is from RNAcentral. Lineage: Eukaryota; Metazoa; Chordata; Mammalia; Artiodactyla; Suidae.